GUGGAUAUUCGUCCGACAUUUCCAUAUCGUUAAAGUCGUUAAAAUUAAAACAGCGUAAAUUUAGUCGAAUUUCAAGCAAAUCCUUCGUAGUGUAGUGGUUUAGGCACCCGUAUUGUGUGCGCCAAGUUCUGGGAUCGAUUCCUGCUCGCGACACUAUUUUAUUAUUUUUUUUUAUACUUUUUUUUUCUUCGUGAUUUUCGCUUACGCACCGCGUACGAAACGUAUAGCGUAUCGAAUAUGUUGUUGCUUCGUUCUUAAGAAACAACGCAACCCUUUUAGUGUUUAGUUUUAGCUUUUAAAGCGUUGUCGGAUGAAUAGCCGUGAAGCAGGAAGAUCCGGUGUCGGACGAAUAUCCACGGGGAAAAAUA
Non-coding RNA from Paramuricea clavata, 368 nucleotides. The record is from the annotation of a GenBank genome assembly. Lineage: Eukaryota; Metazoa; Cnidaria; Anthozoa; Malacalcyonacea; Plexauridae.